UACAGAGGGUGCGAGCGUUGUUCGGAAUCAUUGGGCGUAAAGCGCGUGUAGGCGGCCCGGUAAGUCCGCUGUGAAAACCCGAGGCUCAACCUCGGGACGUCGGCGGAAACCAUCUGGCUAGAGUCCGGAAGAGGAGAGUGGAAUUCCCGGUGUAGCGGUGAAAUGCGCAGAUAUCGGGAAGAACACCCGUGGCGAAGGCGGCUCUCUGGGACGGUACUGACGCUGAGACGCGAAAGCGUGGGGAGCGAACAGG
This 253-nucleotide ribosomal RNA is filed under the name uncultured bacterium. RNAcentral's name for it is "partial 16S ribosomal RNA". It matches the Rfam family "Bacterial small subunit ribosomal RNA", at positions 524 to 776 of the family's 1533-position model. The record is from RNAcentral.